GGGGAUUUAGCUCAGUGGUAGAGCGCUUGCCUAGCAAGCACAAGGCCCUGGGUUCGGACCCAGCUCUG
RNAcentral lists this transfer RNA (68 nucleotides) under Rattus norvegicus (Norway rat). It matches the Rfam family "tRNA". Rfam says of the family: Transfer RNA (tRNA) molecules are approximately 80 nucleotides in length. The record is from Rfam by way of RNAcentral. Lineage: Eukaryota; Metazoa; Chordata; Mammalia; Rodentia; Muridae.